GAUUAACGCUGGCGGCGUGCCUAACACAUGCCAGUCGAACGCUCAAACUUUGCCGUCUUUUUCUGCACGAUACUCUGCGGAUUAGUGACGAACGGGUGAGUCAUGCGUGAGCUACCUGCUUUCCACAGGGGACUAGUCUUUGGAAAAGAUAAUAACUACUAUUUAUAACUAUUACAGCACAUUUUAGCAUGGUCAACGUGAUAGCGGUGUAAGAUGGACUUGCGUCUGAUUAGCUAGUUGGUGAGAUAAAAGCCCACCAAGGCAACGAGCAGUAGGCGGCUUGAGAGAGGGUACAGCCACAUUGGGAAUGAGACACGGCCCAGACUCCGACGGGAGGCAGCAGUGGGGAAUUUUGCACAAGGGGGGAAACCCAGAUGCAGCGGCGCCGCGAGAUUUAGAAUGCCUUCGGAUUGUAAAAAUCUUUUGUAUGGGAAGAAAAUGACGGUACUAUACGAAUAAGGGCCGGCUAAUUACGUG
RNAcentral lists this ribosomal RNA (477 nucleotides) under uncultured bacterium. RNAcentral describes it as "partial 16S ribosomal RNA". It matches the Rfam family "Bacterial small subunit ribosomal RNA", at positions 28 to 507 of the family's 1533-position model. The record is from RNAcentral.